GCAUCGGUGGUUCAGUGGUAUAAUGCUUGCCUGCCACGCCGGCGGCCCGGGUUCGAUUCCCGGCCGAUGCA
Molecule: transfer RNA, 71 nt
Filed under: Cordylochernes scorpioides
Lineage: Eukaryota; Metazoa; Arthropoda; Arachnida; Pseudoscorpiones; Chernetidae
Description: tRNA-Gly
Rfam family: tRNA
About the family: Transfer RNA (tRNA) molecules are approximately 80 nucleotides in length. Their secondary structure includes four short double-helical elements and three loops (D, anti-codon, and T loops). Further hydrogen bonds mediate the characteristic L-shaped molecular structure. tRNAs have two regions of fundamental functional importance: the anti-codon, which is responsible for specific mRNA codon recognition, and the 3' end, to which the tRNAs corresponding amino acid is attached (by aminoacyl-tRNA synthetases). tRNAs cope with the degeneracy of the genetic code in two manners: having more than one tRNA (with a specific anti-codon) for a particular amino acid; and 'wobble' base-pairing, i.e. permitting non-standard base-pairing at the 3rd anti-codon position.
Source: RNAcentral